Long non-coding RNA from Alosa sapidissima (American shad), 1167 nucleotides. RefSeq lists it as uncharacterized. The record is from RefSeq and is a predicted model, not a curated record. The transcript has 4 exons. Lineage: Eukaryota; Metazoa; Chordata; Actinopteri; Clupeiformes; Clupeidae.
AGCUCGAUGCUGAAGGAAUCUAUCCCACUAAAAAAGAGAAAUGCUUUGUGACCAGACUCAGACUCGCUACAGCUGCGUAGCGUAAAGCGAGACUUGGAGUAUGAUGCAAACAAGACCCACCAGUCACAAUGAAAUGGGGAGGAUACUAUUUCACUUCCGCGUAUGAACGGCACUGUGCCUUUAAGAGGCAGAUAUCCGCAGUGUUUUUGAAAAAUCGAUGGACACAUGAGAAUACAUACGAGGGACAGCUAAUGAUAAAUGGAGAAAGCUCCUCGUUACCAACAGUGUUGCAUCAUUAGUUCAAGGAGAACAGGAGCUUCCCACCCCCCCCCCCCCCCCCCACACACACACUGCCAACGACUGUCCCUAGCCACUGAUGAGAAUACAGCACUGGACGGUGGCUCUCUCCAGUGGGAUUCUCUCUCUCUCUCUCUCUCUCUCUCUCUGUGACAGCCCCUGUUCUGGGAGCGCAUCUGUGGGGCGGAUGGCCCGAGCCUGCAGGGAGCUGACAACCAGCUGCUAGCCUCAUCGCCGGGCAGGCUGGACCAGCAGGCUGCCAGGCUGUGACUCCAUUCCACUCCACUCUCCGCCGGGGAAACACACCAGCCCACAAACACACCACACCAGAGCACAUCCCAUCCGACCAGAAAGACGUCUUUAUUGGCCGAGCUGAAGAGGAUGCUUUGUUCCUGCGCGCUGACCACAAAUCAGACUAGAGCAGACCACAGGCAAGGCCUCUAUGUGGCUUAAUGUACAGCCUGUUUUGCUGUCAGCAUUACUGGAGCAUAGAGAGUGACAAAGCAGUCCCAUUCCAGAUGUAUGCCCUUGUAUCUGGUCCUGGAUAUCAAAAUACGAUUCAGCAGCUCCCCCGCAGCAAGCUGAGAUCUACCAAACACGGAGGUCCGUCUGGCCCAUCCAAAGGGCUUACGGUGGCAUUAGGGAAGAACACGGCAGUCUGGGCCAAGCCCUGGGCACUCUGUCAACUCUGCAUAAAGGGUACAGCAUGGAGUGAGUCAUCAAGGCGCCAGGUUUCACAGAGCAGCGCAGGUUUCUGGAGCCACGUUAGGCAGGAGGGUGGUCACUAAUCAGUUGGAUUGCCCUGGAGGAUAACAACACUGUUGUUGACAUGGACAGAGGUACUUGUGUCCGUGAGCCUUAAAUCCCCAA